UCGAGACCACGAGGGUCGAUGAGCCCACCAGCGGCUUCAACUGAGGUCCGGCCUCGCGAAACAUCUGCGGUUUGACCGCGAGUACAAGCACGUCGGCGGGGCCGAUGUCCUUCGUCUCGGGAUUCAGCCGCACGCCGCGCGCGACGAAAUCGCGGGUGUCGUCCGACGGGAAUGGCUCGAUGAUGGUCACGCGUUUGGUGUCGAGUCCUCCGUCCNCCGGACAGCAUCGCGCCGCCCAUCUUGCCCGCACCCGCGAGCACGAGUGAGCCUGUGAAGU
Molecule: unclassified non-coding RNA, 277 nt
Filed under: Hevea brasiliensis (rubber tree)
Lineage: Eukaryota; Viridiplantae; Streptophyta; Magnoliopsida; Malpighiales; Euphorbiaceae
Source: RNAcentral